This 529-nucleotide long non-coding RNA is filed under the name Bos mutus (wild yak). RNAcentral describes it as "lncRNA (ENSBMUG00000022257.1)". Lineage: Eukaryota; Metazoa; Chordata; Mammalia; Artiodactyla; Bovidae. The record is from RNAcentral.
CGCGGUGGUCUGUGCAGAUGGAGCUCCCGGGAAAGCAGUGUGGGUGUGUGGAGAUGAGGGUUUUCGGGGCGCGGUGGUCGGUGCAGAUGGUGGUCCCCAGAGUGCAGUGGGGGUCUGUGGAGAUAAAGGUCCCCGGCCUGCGCUGGGGGUGCGGGCCCUUCUCAGCCUAAGCACUACUGACCCUCGGGGCCGGAUCAUGCAUCUUCGUGGGGCUGCCCUGGGCGGCUGCAGCGCAUUCAUUAGCGGCUCUGGUCUGUGUCCACUAGAUGGCAGUAGGUGCCCACUAAUGGUGAGAAUCCGGACGUCCGCACGCGUCCUGUCCACCGGGGAACUGAAUCACCCCUCACUGAGUGCCCCGGCUAGACAGGGCUGGAGAGAAACCAACAGAUCUGACUGACGGAUGGAUGGAUGCAUACGUAGAUAAUGAGAGAUAACAGAUUAAAUAGGUUCGAGAAAAGAGAUGUCAUACUCUAACCACCUGACGCGAAGAGCUGACUUUUUUGGGAAAGACCUUGAUGCUGGCAAGAGU